Molecule: ribosomal RNA, 17 nt
Filed under: Ziziphus mauritiana (Indian jujube)
Lineage: Eukaryota; Viridiplantae; Streptophyta; Magnoliopsida; Rosales; Rhamnaceae
Description: partial 28S ribosomal RNA
Source: RNAcentral
AAGACCCCAUGCGUCGC